RNAcentral lists this long non-coding RNA (2205 nucleotides) under Callithrix jacchus (white-tufted-ear marmoset). Its description in RNAcentral is "lncRNA (ENSCJAG00000077501.1)". The record is from RNAcentral. Lineage: Eukaryota; Metazoa; Chordata; Mammalia; Primates; Cebidae.
CAUCAUGUGUGAGGGGAAAAUGUUAAUAGAUACCUUAUUAGAUAAUACCUUAUUCAGGUAUUCUGAAGAUUAAGUAAGAGAAAAUGCCUAAGUACCCAGCAUAUAGUAGGUGUUUAACAAACGGUGAUUACGAUUAGGUUUAACCCACAAAAAUAAAUGACAUGUAUGACAUGCUUCUCAGAUUAUUAAAAUUCAUGUGAAAUUUCCAAGCUAGUCUAAAUAUCAAGGCCAUAUUUGAUGUGGUGGCAAAUUGGAUGAUUUAUUAAUGUAAUGAUAAUAAUUUCUUUUGUCUCUUGUUUUGUUUUGUUUUUUGGAAACAGAGUUGCUCUGUCACCCAGGCUGGAGUGCACUGGUGAAGAGGCUUACUGCAACAUCUGCCUCCUGGGUUUAAGCGAUUCUGCUGCCUCAGCUUCCCCAGUAGCUGGGGCUACAGGUGCACUCCAGCAUGCUUGGGUCCCCUCUGGAAACUUACCUCUAUGACCUCCAAGGGGCCACUUGACCUUGGAUCUGUGCCACCUGGUACUGAAGCUGACGCAGUCAUAGUUACUUUCCAAAGUGCUCUGGAACGUUUACAACAAGGAGCCCCCUUUUUUUGCCACUAGGACAGCAUUAGACCCCAUAUGUGGCCUAGUUGUUUUUAAUGCUGCUAUUACUGCUAUUGUUUAUUGCGCACUUGCCGUGUGUCAGAAAUUCUGUGGAAUGCUUCAAUCCUUACAGCAACCCUAUAAGGCAAGCACUAUUAUUGUCAUCAUCUCUAGUUUAGAGAUCAGGAAACUGAGGCUCACACAGCUAAGUUCACACAGCCGGUAGAUGCAGGUUCAAGCAGAGAACUGGUUCAUUCAUUUUUACGAGCCUUACAUUUUUCAUUUCUUCUUUGCCUCUGUAGCUAUAACACCUCCAAACACAAAUGUGAUCCUCCUGAAUUCUUUUACUGCUCACAUAUUUUAGUUAUCACAAAUAGUUUAAACCUUAUUUUUAAUGAUGUAUAUACAAAUGAUGUUUCUCUUCAAAAUUAUUUCACACCAUAAGAAGUCACUCUUCCUUCCCUUUACUUAUGAAUUCAUUCUUCUUUAGAAAUGAGCAUUUAUAAUAAUGACACGCAAGGCUAAAUUUUUUCUGUUUAAUAUAAACCAUAAUGUGAAAUUGAGAAUGGUUGAAAAGCAUCGUUAUGAAACAUUGUGGACUCCAGACUCAUCCGAUACAAUUUCCAAGGGGAAUUUAUUCUAAGUGCUUUAAAACUUAUAGAGAGUUAAAUUCUGAACUACUUGAGCCUGUAUACCCUCUUAGCAACUCCCCCAGCAGGUAACCAAAAAUGAGAAUGGAAAGAAAUUGCCUCAACAUUGAAUUUUUAGACGUUUAAAAGGUCUGGAGUCUAAAUGCUUUAGAAGACUGUUAUUUAAAUGUGGGAAAUGAUGGAAAAGUAUAAUGUAAAUAUAAGAUAUAUAUUGUUUGCUAAAAUAAAUCAUCAUUCUUUUCUUUGUCAAAUUCAUGACAAUUUAAAAAUGCUGUUAUUCUAUUUUUUUUUUUUUUUUCUACUUUGGAGCAGGUAGCUGAAUAUGCAGAGUUCUGGCACUAGGUGUCAGCAAAAGAUUAAAUUAAAAAUGCCUACCUAGUUUUUUUCCUUUUCUUUCUUCUUUCUGCACACACACACACACACACACACACACACACACACAUAUUUGAGACAGGAUCUCAGUCUGUCACCCAGGCUAGAGUGUAGUGCCAUGAUCAUAGCUCACUGCAGCCUCGAACUCCGUGGGAUCAGGUGAUCCUCUCAACUCAGCCUCCAGAGUAGCUGGGACUACAGCCAUGUGCCACCACACCCAGCUAACUUUUUUGCGUUUUUUUUUUUUUUUUUUUUUUUUUUUAGAAAUGGGGUCUUGAUAUGUUGCUCGGGCUAGUCUCAAACUCCUGGGCUCAAGUGAUCCUCCUACCUUGGCCUCCCAAAGUGCUGGGAUUACAGGCAUGAACCACCAUGCCUGGCCUACUCUUCUAUAUAUUUAAAACUUUAUCAAAAUAAAAAUAAAAUACAUAGUCUGGAUUUUAAAAAGAAGAGAUAACACACUUCCUUGUUGCCAUGACAAUGCCAGUGUGAGAGAGAGGCUGGGUUGCUGCUGUUCAAGUAGGCACCUUAUGGAGAUGUUCAUGGCUCAAGGAAUUCCAUGUAUGACUCAGUUUGACCUUUAACAUUGAAUGGUUGGGGAC